AGGGAAUCUUCCACAAUGGACGCAAGUCUGAUGGAGCAACGCCGCGUGAGUGAAGAAGGUUUUCGGACCGUAAAGCUCUGUUGUUGGUGAAGAAGGAUAGAGGUAGUAACUGGCCUUUAUUUGACGGUAAUCAACCAGAAAGUCACGGCUAACUACGUGCCAGCAGCCGCGGUAAUACGUAGGUGGCAAGCGUUGUCCGGAUUUAUUGGGCGUAAAGCGAGCGCAGGCGGAAGAAUAAGUCUGAUGUGAAAGCCCUCGGCUUAACCGAGGAAUUGCAUCGGAAACUGUUUUCUUGAGUGCAGAAGAGGAGAGUAGAACUCCAUGUGUAGCGGUGGAAUGCGUAGAUAUAUGGAAGAAUACCAGUGGCGAAGGCGGCUCUCUGGUCUGCAACUGACGCUGAGGCUCGAAAGCAUGGGUAGCGAACAGGAUUAGAUACCCUGGUAGUCCAUGCCGUAAAACGAUGAGUGCUAAGUGUUGGGAGGCUUCCGCCUCUCAGUGCUGCAGCUAACGCAUUAAGCACUCUGCCUGGGGGAGUACGACCGCAAGGUUGAA
This 552-nucleotide ribosomal RNA is filed under the name uncultured bacterium. RNAcentral's name for it is "partial 16S ribosomal RNA". It matches the Rfam family "Bacterial small subunit ribosomal RNA", at positions 356 to 898 of the family's 1533-position model. The record is from RNAcentral.